UACGGAGGGUGCAAGCGUUGUCCGGAUUUAUUGGGUUUAAAGGGUGCGUAGGCGGUUUGUUAAGUCCGGGGUGAAAGCCCACUGCUCAACAGUGGAACUGCCCUGGAAACUGGCGGACUUGAGUACAGACGAGGGCGGCGGAAUGGAUGGUGUAGCGGUGAAAUGCAUAGAUACCAUCCAGAACCCCGAUUGCGAAGGCAGCUGCCUAGACUGUAACUGACGCUGAGGCACGAAAGCGUGGGGAGCGAACAGG
RNAcentral lists this ribosomal RNA (253 nucleotides) under uncultured bacterium. RNAcentral's name for it is "partial 16S ribosomal RNA". It matches the Rfam family "Bacterial small subunit ribosomal RNA", at positions 524 to 776 of the family's 1533-position model. The record is from RNAcentral.